GACGAACGCUGGCGGCGUGCUUAACACAUGCAAGUCGAGCGGAGCGGCGAACGGGUGAGUAACGCGUGAGUAACUGCCCCCCUCUCUGGGAUUACAGUUGGAAACGGCUGCUAAUACCGGAUAGUGGGGGAUGACUCGCGGCCUAUCGGCUUGUUGGGGGGGUAGUGGCUUACCAAGGGUACGACUGGUAGCCGGCCUGGGAGGGCGACCGGCCACCUUGGGCGGAGAUACGGACCAACCGCGUACGGGGGGCAGCAGUGGGGAAUAUUGCACAAUGGGGGACACCCUGAUGCAGCAACGCCGCGUGCGGGAUGACGGCCUUCGGGGUGUAAACCGCUUUCAGCCAUGACGCGGUAGUGGCAGAAGAAGCACCGGCUAACUACGUGCCAGCAGCCGCGGUAAUAC
This 405-nucleotide ribosomal RNA is filed under the name uncultured bacterium. RNAcentral's name for it is "partial 16S ribosomal RNA". It matches the Rfam family "Bacterial small subunit ribosomal RNA", at positions 28 to 526 of the family's 1533-position model. The record is from RNAcentral.